UGCAGCCUACGGGGCGCAGCAGUAGGGAAUCUUCCACAAUGGGCGAAAGCCUGAUGGAGCAACGCCGCGUGGGUGAAGAAGGUCUUCGGAUCGUAAAACCCUGUUGUUAGAGAAGAAAGUGCGUGAGAGUAACUGUUCACGUUUCGACGGUAUCUAACCAAAAAGCCACGGCUAACUACGUGCCAGCAGCCGCGGUAAUACGUAGGUGGCAAGCGUUAUCCGGAUUUAUUGGGCGUAAAGGGAACGCAGGCGGUCUUUUAAGUCUGAUGUGAAAUCCUAUGGCUUAACCAUAGAACUGCAUUUGA
This 305-nucleotide ribosomal RNA is filed under the name uncultured bacterium. Its description in RNAcentral is "bacterial SSU rRNA". It matches the Rfam family "Bacterial small subunit ribosomal RNA", at positions 332 to 630 of the family's 1533-position model. The record is from RNAcentral.